UUCAAGUGCCUUUGUCUUGUCCAGUCCCGUCGUCAGUCGAGUCCUUCAGUUCAUUCUGAGCCAAUCCGGACAAGAUCCCAGUCGAACCCUUCGAAGACACUGAAAAAUUUGUAUAGCUUAUUAUUAAUAACAUUGUAAGGAGGCAAAACCCCAUCAAGUAGCUAAAUCUUGGGAAGCAUUUAAGCAGCAUGUCAGAAACAAAACGAUGGGGAAAAACCGCCGGGGCUGUCCUGACUGUCGCCGUCGUCGACAUUGACAGUGAUUACAAGCUAAAAGUAUGAAAAACAGCAGAAACUACUUAAGCACAAGAAAUAACAAAAGCCCUGACCGAACCAGGCCAGUUCGGCGAAGUUUAGCUGGGGAAUGGCUCGACGGCUGUAGACUGUAGACAAAUUUUUUGCAUAAACACAGACGACAAAGCCAACUACUGACUGCACUUAAGACAAGAGUCCGGUGGCGGUGGGGGUGGGGCGGUGUAUAAACGGAUGGGAGCAGAAUCGAAAGGACCAAGGGACUGAAGCCAAAUCGAAGGCGAAAGCCGAAAGCUGAUGCCAUCGAAGCCAUGAAGAAGGAAUUUCCUCAAUUCCUCGAUGUGAGAUGCGAAUUUUUCAAUAAAUGCAACCAUUGGGGAAUGGAGCAAGGCCACCAGGGGACCAACGGACCAACCGACCGACCGACCGUAUUAUAAUUUCGGAUGGGGCAGGACGAGCGUCGUUUAAAAUAUGCCUGGGCGGGGCAGGACUCGCCUCCGACUGAGUCCCGGACUAGGAGCAGGAAGCACAUAAGUAGAAACGGCUCAAAAUGCAAAGUAGACGACAUCCGCUUUGAGAUUGGAUGACGUUCGUCCUCGCCAUCGCCAUCGUUGGCGUCGCCUUACGUCGUCGUCCUCGCCGUGAAGUAUUAAAAGCAAAUAAGUAAUAAAAAUAAUAAUGGAG
Non-coding RNA from Drosophila melanogaster (fruit fly), 935 nucleotides. NCBI's taxonomy places the organism in Eukaryota, Metazoa, Arthropoda, Insecta, Diptera, Drosophilidae. The record is from Ensembl.